CGAAACACGUGGCACCUCCCUGAGGCGUGGAGCCAGGGGAGCUCCGGCAUUGCAGAACCAAGAGGAGGGCAUGAAGCUGUGCCAAGGAGGAGCAGGUGCUGCAUGAAGGAGUGAGAGCAUCGCUCGGGGCAGUUACCUCUGGGGUGAGAGGUCCUCUGCUCUGCCACAGAUGAACUAAAAACUCUACAAAACAGUCGUGCAGUGCUUGAGAGAG
This 214-nucleotide long non-coding RNA is filed under the name Gallus gallus (chicken). The record is from RNAcentral. Lineage: Eukaryota; Metazoa; Chordata; Aves; Galliformes; Phasianidae.